AAUAUAAGAUAUUAUCGUCUCAUGAUCACUCGUGAUAAAAUCCAUGAAGUGAUUCCAAUGAGCGCGGGUUGAAUCCAAUACUCAGAACUUAUGAGCACUCAUGAGUGUUGUAGCCCUUUGUCCAACACCUUAGACCUCUACAAGCUAACCCAUGACAGUCUUAAUUCAUAUCUACUUCCAACAUAUGACCGACUGUGGACGCUUUGAAUAACUUAGUCAUUCCGGAAGAAUAACCUAGUUUAUUCUGGAAGUCAAAACAUGCAAAAUGAAACACAAGAACAAUUGAAUCCAAUAUGGUCUUAGAACUUAUGAAUACAUUCUAACUUUGAACCAUUUCCAUAUUCCAUUUUGACUAUCACUUCAAAACACGCGUUGCCUCUUUUCAUACUAUGUCAAUAUGGUCCUUCCAAAGUCAACUCUAUACUUCCAACUGUCCUUGAGCAACCAAUCUUUGGUAAACCUUAGAUUGUCCUCGACAAUUGCUUAAUCCUUUUAGUCAUAUCCAAUUCUAGACCUUUUCCCUUCUUAAUGCCCCAGGCGUUUGGAAAAUUUUGGAAAGGAUAAAUAUAGCACAUGUAGUCAAUCCUAUAUUCGAAGCAUAUGGGACACGAUCCAUGACGUCUCACAUAAAGACUAAACCAGUCUUUUGCUAUAAUAUUUCCAUUUUUAUUUGCCAAGUCUUCAUAAUUUAGAUUAUGAAAAGGGAUGCCGUAAUCAUAAUCGAAUUUUAGAACCCAAACAUAGAAUUUCCUUAUGUUGAGCCAUUCCAACUUGAAACUCAUAUAUAUACUUUACUAAAUACGAUUAAGACCUCAAUCUAAGCUUUUAGAUUUGAGAUGAAGUACAAUUUCCUCUCCCUUAAUUAUAGCAAAACAACUCUUUGCCAAUUGAAAGCUUUUUUUUUCUAUAAUUAACAUUGCUAACUUGCAAUACUUAUCAUAAUUAUCAUGCUCCCACUAACAUGAUGAUUAUUAGCAUAACUGUAACAACCCGAAGUUAUUCAUCGCCAAAAACCCGUUCUACCCGUAUAACUCGUCGGAAAUCNNNNNNNNNNNNNNNNNNNNNNNNNNNNNNNNNNNNNNNNNNNNNNNNNNNNNNNNNNNNNNNNNNNNNNNNNNNNNNNNNNNNNNNNNNNNNNNNNNNNAUUAGCCCACAUUAUAUAAAUAUAGAAGCCCAUAUUUAAUUAGUAGUAUCUUUGACCUCUAAAUUAAUCCUAGAUUAAUUAUAGAUCUAUACUAAUUAAAUAAUAUGAUCUUAUAUUAAUAUAUUAGAACUUAUAAUAUAUUAAUAAAUCAUAACUUGUACUAUUCUCAAAAGGUUAUCCAGAAAUUGUUCGGGUGAAGUGCAACCCAAAUGGACCAUGUCGGGUCGGGUCAGUUACAUACCAAAUAUAGUUAUGGACUUAGACACUAUAUCCAACAUAAAAUGGGUGAAUCGUCAUUCGCCUACCUUCAAAUAUUUUAUAGCUUGGAUUACGACAUCCUUCUUCCAAGUUAUAAUAGUAUUGUAUUGGGUCCUAGCCUUAAUAUUUCAUAUUGGGUGUUAUAUUAAGGACAUUAAAUCAACUAUCUUGAAUAUCUCCCAAUAGAUGUCUGGUUUACACAUUUAUGAUCUUCCCAAAUCUCUUGAAACAAGCUUUCCGAAAUGAAGAUGAUAUCCCAUGGAAAUCAUACUUCUUUCAUCUCCUCUAAUUAUUCUCCCUAACCCAUAAGUUCCUGAAAAAGUUUAUGGUCACUCAAGCCCUAUUGGCAAGCAAAGGUCUAUGUGUGAUCACGUCUUGGAGAUGUAGUCACAUAUGGACAAGCCCGGAGAAUUGGGCGUCAAAGUCUUGAGAAAAGUUGGUGGCUCAACUACUUUCUAAGUCACAUUGUGAGUUCUUUUGGAACACCUAUGAAACAGAAUAUGACAAGACCCUUAAUGCUCUUAUCUAUUUGCUACAAUGAACUUCCUAAAAACUUUAUGGACAUUGACCAUGAUGACACUGGAAAUCCAGAAAAGGCAUUCUCUUCGCAAUGGAAAAGGAUCGGCCAUAGUCAAAUCGGUUGACCAAAUGGUAAAGAGAAAAGCUAAGUCUGAGAUAGUUGCAUUUUCAAAUUGUCCAUAUGUUUAUAUUGCCAAAGAAAGGGGCAUUGGUUGCGAAGAUGCCAAGUUUACCUAAGGAUGUUAAAGUCAAUAAAUUUGACUCUACUUCAGGUAAAGUCCACUAUCUAACUCUGCUAAGUUUCUAUUCUGAUAUUCUUGAUACAUGAUGUGACUGGGUCACAUGUUGAUGUUUUAAGAGUCAAAGAAAAGUGUAGAACUUAAAGGAAGAAUAUGCUAAAUCUGAUCACGUAGAUGGAUUUCUAUCGCAUAGUUCGAAGAUCGGAUUCUUGAGCUACAUCAUAGGAGUUAUGAUAUUUUGCAUAGGAAUAGUUAACAAGUUUGUUGGGUUUCGUGCAUUCUAACACUCCUAAGUGUACAUGCAACCCUAAAUACCUUGGAUCUAUGUUUUCCCUAUUAUACAUACAAAUAUGAACAUCUAAGGUAUUAUCCUAAUCUAACAUACAAAACAAUGAAUAUAACAAGAUAUAAUACAUACCUCUUUGAUGUAGAAUGUCCUCAUGAAGCUAGAGUGCCUAGUGCCUCAAGUGUGACACCUCAAAUGGUUCACACAACACCAAAUACACUUGGAAUAACUUGAGAGAAUUCUAGACUUCAUGAAAAUCGGCUAGCCCUUCUAUUACACACACUAGUGGCUGAUUUUGGUUAAUAAUAUGAUGCUUAUAUAGUGUGUUACAAUUAGGUUUACACCAUGUAAACCCUAAUUGUCAUGAACUUUCUCUCAUUUAGUCUAUCCAAGUGCAUGAUGCCAUGNGUAUGCAACCCAAAUGGACCAUGCCGGGUCGGGUCAAGUCUUACCAAUUAUAGUUAUGGACUUAGACAUUAAUCCAACAGUCUCCCACUUGGAUAAGUCUAAAACUAUUAUUGUGUAUGACUUCAAGAACCGACAGGCAAUCGUAGCUCUCAAAAGCUUCUGUCGAACUCUGACCUUGUAGAUGAACUCUGACCUUCGUCAAUGAAUUGUCCAUUAGAUAAGGGAUCAUAUAUUCCUCCAUUCUAGAUAUCAUAUGGACGGAGUCAUGGAUUAUAAUCAUUCUCUUUGUCCAUUUUUUGUUUCCCAAUUUCCGAUUUAUGACUACUGACUAAUUAAACAAAUCAAAUCAGUCCUGGCCCGGCCGAGCACUUCCCUUUGUCAUCAUCAAAUCAUCGAGGGGCCCACAGAUAUCGCUUUUAUCCCGAAGGUAAAAGGAACGGAUAAACUUCGACUCAUAUGGCUUGUUCUACUACUUGUUGAAUCAUACACAAAGGCACGUUUUAUAGCACCGAGUUACCAAAUGCGUUUUCGUGCAAUCAAUGUACUAUCAACUCAUAGUAACAACUCAUAUCUCUAGGUUUGAAGAAUAUAAGAUAUUAUCGUCUCAUGAUCACUCGUGAUAAAAUCCAAGAAGUGAUUCCAAUGAGCGCGGGUUGAAUCCAAUACUCAGAACUUAUGAGCACUCAUGAGUGUUGUAGCCCUUUGUCCAAUAUCUUAGACCUCUACAAGCCAACCCAUGACAGUCUUAAUUUAUAUCUACUUCCAACAUAUGACCGACUAUGGAUGCUUUGAAUAACAUACUCAUCCAGAACAAUAACCUAGUUUAUUCUGGAAGUCAAAACAUGCAAAAUCAAACACAAGGAUAAUUAAAUCGAAUAUAGUAUCAAAACCUAUGAACAUAAAUAAAACACCUUUUAUUUAUCACUAUAUGAUUAGACGUUAUUCAUUGUAUACUAUUUCAGCUAUCAACUUUAUUCUUGAAUUUAAAACAAUAGUUGUCACAUGCUCCAAGCAUGUACACUAUGCUUCCUAAACACUAGUCAUGCCAUACACCAAGUUUGCAUACUAUGUUUGUCUAUGAUCUUUACUUUGUGAAAUAGAUCAAUUGAACAUAACUCCGAUGAUCCUCUUUUCACAGUCCCAAAUCCUUACUGCAAAUGCAAGAAUUCCAAAUUCAUGCCUUUUACUGAAAUCUGUUAGAUUCUAAACUUAUAUGCAUUGAUCCUCUUGUAAUGAUUAUGCACAAAGUCAUAAAGACUUAACAACAACCAUUACAGAGAAUUACAAAGGACAUAAGCUCCUUGGAAACAUCCUUCUUGCAUUAAGUUUCCUAAUCUUAAACAGAUUGAAAAAUCUAACUUUGAAACAUUUCCAGAUUCCAUUUUGACUAUCACUUCUGAACAAGAGUUGCCUCCUUACAGAUUAUGUCAAUAUGGUCCUUCCAGAAUUAUCACUAUACUUCCAACUGUCCUUGAGCACCCAAUCUUUGGUAAACCUUAGAUUGUCCUCAACAAUUGUUUAAUCCUUUUAGUCAUAUCCAGUUCUAAACCUUUUCCCUUCUUAAUGCCCCAGGCAUUUGGAAAAUUUUAGAACGGAUGAAUAUAGCACAUGUAAUCGAUCCUAUAUCCGAAGCAUAUGGGACACGAUUCAUGAUGUCUCACAUAAAGACUAAACCAGUCUUUUGCUAUAAUAUUUCCAUUUCAAUUUGCCAAGUUCUCAUAAUUCAGAUUAUGAAAAGGGAUGCCGUAAUCAUAAUCGAAUUUUAGAACGCAAAUAAUGGACCCAUAUACAGAAUUUCCUUAUGUUGAGCCAUUCCAACAUGAAAUUCAUAUAUAUAUCCUUGACUAAAUACGAUUCAAACCUCAAUCUAAGAUUUUAGAUUUGAGAUGAAGUAUAAUUUCCUCUCCUUUAAUUAUAGCAAAACAACUUUUUCCUAAUUGAAACCUUUUGUUUUCUAUAAUUAACAUUGCUAACUUGCAAUGCUUAUCAUAAUUAUCAUGCUCCCACUAACAUGAUGAUUAUUAGCAUAACACUUAUUCUCCCACUACCUUUCACAUGUACUCAGAAAUCAGUUGGACUUCUAGAAAUCAAUACUUUAUUGACUUUCUUACCAAAGUUCAGAUUUCUGAUACUAGAUUGCUUUGAUAAAACAUUAUCAGAAUCAUACACCUUAUCUUAGAUAGCUAACAAGUGUGUCUAAACAAUUUUAAGGACUAUUAAAAGGGAUUCCGUAAUCAUAGUCUCAAUUGUUUAGACCUUUUCUACUUCUCACAAGUCCGUGUUAGUGUGUCGGUUAACCACACAGCUCCACUAAUGACUUUGAGAAUGCAAAUAUCACAAUUGCUAUCUACUUCUAAUCUACUUGGUGGAAGUGUUUCCUCACCAUCAUUUUCAUGAAUCGGAGAGAAACCUUAUGACCCUUAGAUUUAAUGGUGUAUGUGUUCUUAUCCGUGUGAAUUAUCAAAACCAUAGUCACAAGACAAGGAUAAUGACAACUCAAUCUUAAUUUCUUGCUAUCUGGCUGCUCAAGGGCCUGCCAUUUCUUCCAAGUUGUUGUGCAACCAAUUGAGAACUCUAAGAACUCAUAUGCAAAGCAAAAUCAACUCGAAUGGGCACAAAAUAUGUCAACACG
This 5486-nucleotide long non-coding RNA is filed under the name Lactuca sativa (garden lettuce). RNAcentral's name for it is "long non-coding RNA (LSAT_LNC009055)". Lineage: Eukaryota; Viridiplantae; Streptophyta; Magnoliopsida; Asterales; Asteraceae. The record is from RNAcentral.